Molecule: ribosomal RNA, 515 nt
Filed under: uncultured bacterium
Lineage: Bacteria
Description: partial 16S ribosomal RNA
Rfam family: Bacterial small subunit ribosomal RNA
Source: RNAcentral
GAUGAACGCUGGCGGCGUGCCUAAUACAUGCAAGUCGAGCGAAUGGAUUAAGAGCUUGCUCUUAUGAAGUUAGCGGCGGACGGGUGAGUAACACGUGGGUAACCUGCCCAUAAGACUGGGAUAACUCCGGGAAACCGGGGCUAAUACCGGAUAACAUUUUGAACCGCAUGGUUCGAAAUUGAAAGGCGGCUUCGGCUGUCACUUAUGGAUGGACCCGCGUCGCAUUAGCUAGUUGGUGAGGUAACGGCUCGCCAAGGCAACGAUGCGUAGCCGACCUGAGAGGGUGAUCGGCCACACUGGGACUGAGACACGGCCCAGACUCCUACGGGAGGCAGCAGUAGGGAAUCUUCCGCAAUGGACGAAAGUCUGACGGAGCAACGCCGCGUGAGUGAUGAAGGCUUUCGGGUCGUAAAACUCUGUUGUUAGGGAAGAACAAGUGCUAGUUGAAUAAGCUGGCACCUUGACGGUACCUAACCAGAAAGCCACGGCUAACUACGUGCCAGCCGCCGCGGUAA